UUCUCCCUGGGGAAAACGGGUGGUAAUGCCGGAUGCUCCGACUCCUCGCAUGGGGUGUCGGGAAAGAUUCUAUCGGUAUGGGAUGGGGUCGCGUCCUAUCAGGUAGUCGGCGGGGUAACGGCCCACCGAGCCUACGACGGGUAGCCGGCCUGAGAGGGCGACCGGCCACAUUGGGACUGAGAUACGGCCCAGACUCCUACGGGAGGCAGCAGUGGGGAAUAUUGCACAAUGGGCGCAAGCCUGAUGCAGCGACGCCGCGUGCGGGAUGACGGCCUUCGGGUUGUAAACCGCUUUUGAUCGGGAGCAAGCCUUCGGGUGAGUGUACCUUUCGAAUAAGCACCGGCUAACUACGUGCCAGCAGCCGCGGUAAUACGUAGGGUGCAAGCGUUAUCCGGAAUUAUUGGGCGUAAAGGGCUCGUAGGCGGUUCGUCGCGUCCGGUGUGAAAGUCCAUCGCUUAACGGUGGAUCUGCGCCGGGUACGGGCGGGCUGGAGUGCGGUAGGGGAGACUGGAAUUCCCGGUGUAACGGUGGAAUGUGUAGAUAUCGGAAAAAAAACACC
This 559-nucleotide ribosomal RNA is filed under the name Bifidobacterium pseudocatenulatum. RNAcentral describes it as "bacterial SSU rRNA". It matches the Rfam family "Bacterial small subunit ribosomal RNA", at positions 144 to 710 of the family's 1533-position model. The record is from RNAcentral. Lineage: Bacteria; Bacillati; Actinomycetota; Actinomycetes; Bifidobacteriales; Bifidobacteriaceae.